CCCGGGUCUUGUACACACCGCCCGUCACACCACGGGAGUGGGUUCACCAGAAGUAGGUAGCUUAACCUUCGGGAGGGCGCUUACCACGGUGAGAUUCAUGACUGGGGUG
RNAcentral lists this ribosomal RNA (109 nucleotides) under uncultured bacterium. RNAcentral's name for it is "partial 16S ribosomal RNA". It matches the Rfam family "Bacterial small subunit ribosomal RNA", at positions 1373 to 1482 of the family's 1533-position model. The record is from RNAcentral.